GCCUUUGUGGUGUAGUGGUCAGCACGCUCGACGCGUAACCGAGAGGUCAGUGGUUCGAUUCCCGGCGAAGGCG
This 73-nucleotide transfer RNA is filed under the name Stegodyphus mimosarum. It matches the Rfam family "tRNA". From Rfam's summary of the family: Transfer RNA (tRNA) molecules are approximately 80 nucleotides in length. Their secondary structure includes four short double-helical elements and three loops (D, anti-codon, and T loops). The record is from Rfam by way of RNAcentral. Lineage: Eukaryota; Metazoa; Arthropoda; Arachnida; Araneae; Eresidae.